CCGCGCUACGGAUGGUCCGAGCAGCGUCCGGCCGACUGGUGGUCGGGCGCGGCGCGUUCUAUUCGCGAAGUGCUGG
This 76-nucleotide transfer RNA is filed under the name Caballeronia grimmiae. Its description in RNAcentral is "tRNA-Thr". Lineage: Bacteria; Pseudomonadati; Pseudomonadota; Betaproteobacteria; Burkholderiales; Burkholderiaceae. The record is from RNAcentral.